CCUGGACAGAUUUUGGAGAUCCGCGAGUUAUUUCCAGCGCAUCUAUUCUCGGAGCGUUCACCCUCUCAGCGUGGGAGAACCUGCUCGCAUCUUAGACCGGUCUCACAGAUCUUUCUUCUUCAUCAGGGAUGAAGAAAUUAAUGUGUGCUCGCCUAUAUGUUUGAUUCCUAGAGAGACUUACGGCAACUGAGAAAAUGCACGGAAGAAAAACAGUUCCGUUGGUGUAACUGAAUUUUCUGUUACUUCUAGGACCAGAUGAAAACCAGAUUCUUUGCAGGAGUUACCCAAACUCAAAUCUUUCUUCCGUGCGCGACGUGGACCUGAGAGACGUGGCCAUCGCUGCGAGGCUCUGACUUAGAAGACGAAGGGAACUCACGGACGCUGGGAUCAGAGUGUCGCUGUUGGAAUACAAGAACAGCUGAGGCCAGGAGUAGGCUUCCUCGGCGAGGGCGAUCGGGUUCGUCUGGAUGGGAGUUCUGCUGAACGCCUGCGCGAUCACCUAAUGAACAAGAAUCGACAUAUGAGUUGACAGAGUCCAAAACAAUGAGCAGAGCAACAAGUCUACAACGAACACUUGCAGUUAAAAGAAGAAAAGAAAUUAAUUUCCAAUCGCGACGAUCAGGAAGCCGUGAUUUCCCGGCAGCAUUGACUGACGUGCGCUUAUCGAGCAUGCAAGCCGUUUACCUCGA
Odontomachus brunneus is the source of this 689-nucleotide long non-coding RNA. RefSeq lists it as uncharacterized. The transcript has 3 exons. NCBI's taxonomy places the organism in Eukaryota, Metazoa, Arthropoda, Insecta, Hymenoptera, Formicidae. The record is from RefSeq and is a predicted model, not a curated record.